Molecule: transfer RNA, 63 nt
Filed under: Tachaea chinensis
Lineage: Eukaryota; Metazoa; Arthropoda; Malacostraca; Isopoda; Corallanidae
Description: tRNA-Thr
Source: RNAcentral
AUGAGUUAUAGUUUAAUAGAAAAUAUUAUUUUUGUAAAUUAAUGAUGAGAUUUCUAAAAGUGG